AUAUUAUAGAAUGUUAUGAUAAAGUGUAUUAUUUGUUUUUAUCAGUUUAAUAUCUGAUAUGUGGGUCAUCAACCCCACUUGAUAUUAAUUUUAUUUUAUUUUUGUGAGAAAAAAAAUCCAUUAUCUUAGCUUGGUGAUGUGGUUCUUCAUGCAUCGCCUUAAACUUCCACUGCUAUUGCUACAACUUACACACU
Molecule: small nuclear RNA, 194 nt
Organism: Cynara cardunculus var. scolymus (artichoke)
Lineage: Eukaryota; Viridiplantae; Streptophyta; Magnoliopsida; Asterales; Asteraceae
Product: U2 spliceosomal RNA
Exons: 1
Source: RefSeq, a predicted model, not a curated record